RNA transcript from Solanum dulcamara, 1677 nucleotides. It is a transcript of the gene named E3 ubiquitin-protein ligase RING1-like, with no coding region annotated. The record is from RefSeq and is a predicted model, not a curated record. Lineage: Eukaryota; Viridiplantae; Streptophyta; Magnoliopsida; Solanales; Solanaceae. The transcript has 4 exons.
CGCGCCCCUCUUCUUCCUCUUUCCUUCAUUUCUCAAAUUCCCUAACUUCAUCGAUUUUUUCUUUUGUUUCUCUCUCUCUCUCUCUCUAAAUUUCAUUUUCUUCCUUCUCCAUAUAGAUAAGGAAAGAAUGUCGUCGGCCGGAGCAGUAGGUGGCGGAGGCGCUGCCGGAAAUCAACCACAGAAUUACCAUUGUUACCAAUGUGAACAGACAGUUACCAUUACGACAUCACCAAAUUCUGAGCUCUCAUGCCCUAAUUGCAACGGUACGUUUCUAGAGGAAUCGGAAACCGCACCACCUUCCAACCCAAAUCCUGAUAGUCAUCCAUUUUUCUCCACCGCCACUAACGAUGACCUACCUUUCGGCGGUGGCUUUCCGAUUGUUUUCUCUUCAAACGCUGCUUCCCCUGCCGAUGGUUCUGUCGGUUUUAAUGAUCUUUCCGCUCUAUUUGGUGGUAUGGCGGGUGGUUCCACUGCCUUACCCGGUCGAUCCCCCAAUCAAUUUGAUCCUUUCGCUUUCCUAAACAACUAUUUCAGUACUAUGAGAGGUGGGAAUAUUCAAUUAAUCUUCGAGAACCAUCCCGGAGGAGAAGGAGGCGGAGCUGGUGGUGAUUUUAGGAUUCCGGGGAAUCUUGGAGACUAUUUUCUUGGGCCUGGGCUUGAGCAAUUGAUCCAGCAGCUUGCGGAAAAUGAUCCAAAUCGUCAUGGUACACCUCCGGCUGCAAAGUCGGCUGUUGCUGCGCUUCCAGAUAUUAAGAUCAAUGAGGAGUUGUUGGAUUCUGAUUCAUCUCAAUGUGCAGUUUGUAAAGAUACUUUUGAAGUCGGCAUGGAGGCGAAGCAGAUACCUUGCAAACAUAUAUACCAUAAGGAUUGUAUAAUGCCAUGGCUGGAGUUGCACAAUUCUUGCCCAGUGUGUCGCUAUGAGCUGCCUACUGAUGAUCCUGAUUAUGAGAAUAGGAAAACAUCACAGCAGCAUACUGCCAAUACUAGUAAUAAUAAUACCAACAACAACAACACUGGUGGGAUGUUUGGGGGUUCAGAAGGUGGGGAAAAUCAGGAGAAUUCUCAGAUACCUAGUACAGGGGAGAGGAGGCUUAGGAUACCAUUGCAAUGGCUUUUCAGGGGACUUGGAUCACCUGCUGAGACGAGCAACAGCGGAGGAGCAAGUAAUGGUGCUAACAAUCGCAACAACAACAAUACGAGCAACAAUGCUCCUCGUGGGGAGUCUAAUCCGGAUUCUGGAGGGCAACCGAGGCAGGAGGAUCUCGAUUAAAGUAUGGAGUAGAGUUCUGAGGAGCUCCCUACUUUGCUCCCUUGGAUGUCGUGGUGACUUAAUUCUCAGCAAAAACAGGAUUAAAGAGAUGAGAGGUCCCUUCUCUAAAGACAGGAGUGCGGAGAGGGGAGGUUGGGGGAAAUGCAAUUGUCUUUGCGAUUCAGCAAUGUGGAAGUGUUGUAUUUCCCGGUUUGAGGAGAGCCGUGGUAUCUCAAGUUGUAAAAGAACAUAAUACACCGAGAAGUAGAGAUCAAUGAUAUAAUACUUGUGCCAGUUAUAUAAUGAUUAUUGAUAGAACUUAUCACUCAAAAUUUCCAACCUAAACAUCCUUCAUAGUUCUUUUGAAAAAAAGGUUCAUAUUAUUGUAUAUUUUUCAAAGUUCAAUUUUGCAGUUCUCUCCUUUACAA